GGGCGCAUGGCGUAGGGGUUAUCGCGUUCGCUUUGCAUAAGCGAGAAUAAUGAUCAUUGCGAAAGGUCUCCGGUUCAAAUCCGGAUGUGUCCA
This is a non-coding RNA of Stygiomarasmius scandens, 93 nucleotides long. The record is from the annotation of a GenBank genome assembly. Lineage: Eukaryota; Fungi; Basidiomycota; Agaricomycetes; Agaricales; Campanellaceae.